Non-coding RNA from Peromyscus maniculatus bairdii (prairie deer mouse), 1043 nucleotides. Lineage: Eukaryota; Metazoa; Chordata; Mammalia; Rodentia; Cricetidae. The record is from RefSeq and is a predicted model, not a curated record.
AUGUGCUGUUUUUUCUAAUCCAGCACAGUGUGUAUUUUCCAGUUCAAGUCUACUAGUUUUUAAAAGAUGAGAAAAAAAAUCCUGCCCAGUAGCUCUCUGACCAUUUUCCCUUGGGGAAACAGGGAAUGAACUCAGCUGAAAGGUAAUGCUCGAUUGUCUAGCUGAGUAGAUGUAGUAGGGUCUCAAAAGCUGACAUGGCAGGUCCUCACCAGGCUUGUGCCCCAGCUGCCUUCCUCCCCUAGGUUUGAAAACCUCCAGCAGAAACUGGAGCAGACCACAGCCCAGAAUGAGAGCAUCCUGCAGAUGGAGCUGCUGAAGCAGAAACACUAUGUCUCAGCACCUGUUAAGAAGACUAAGAAGGCUGGAAGAAGCCAGAGACACCUUGAAGGCAUGACAUUCUACACUGCAGGUUCAAGGUUUCCCCAGAAAAUGCCACCUCUUUUCAGCUUUUAACUCAAUAGUGAGGCAAAUAUCAACCUACCAUCAGGUGAUCCAGCCACAAUCAGAUCCACAUCUGUAGGCUCACUAUCCUUGGAGAAACGUUUGUGUCAGUAACAAGUCUAAUAUACAGAGAACACAACACAAAUUACUAAGAACUCUGACUCCAUAUGUGAUGGGAAAUCUGACAAGGAAGACGGUGUUAAUGUCACAUUGCCCUCCAGACAGACCACAUCAAAAGCAUAAGAUUCUCUCUCUAGUACAGUGCAGAAGCUGAGGCCAUGUCAUGGGCAAGUGUUGCUAAAGAUAAUUUACUAUAGAGAAUAAGCCAGUUCCUUCCUUCUUUUGCUCUUCCAUAAUGAAAUUCCAAAGGAAACUGAAAUUUCCUUCAUUUUUGGUUUUAUAUCUUGGUAUAUUUAUUCUUUGCUUUUUGGUUUUCCUCAUUUUUAUUUAAGGUUGGGUUAAUUUUUGUUAUACUUUUCUUCUUGUCAUUGUUUUAAUAGUUUGCUAAGGCUAUAUACUGUUUAUAAUGACUGCUGUUUUGGAAAACCCCAUUGAGUAAAAUGAAUGUAUUUUUAUGAAUAAAAUAAAUUUCAAACUUUUCA